AUGGGGAGGAAGCCUGAUCCGGCGAAGCCACACUACGGCGGCGGCUCCGCCUCGCCGAAGACGGCGAGGAGGGCUCAGCCUUCCCCGGUGUUCCUGGGCACGGCUCUGUUCGUCCUAGGCUUCGUAUCGCUCUUCACCGGGCACAUCGUCACCGACGCCGACUGGUCGCGGAUCCGGAGCCGGUGGCGGUCCAAUCAGGUUAGAAACACCGAACCCAUUGAUAUUUGGAAAUCAAGAUAUUCCAACUUGUACUACGGAUGCAGUGGGAGGAGCCCAAAAUUAAGAUCAGCUGUGCCGGAGAACAGUUCUACUGGCUACUUGCUGAUUGCUACUAGCGGGGGACUGAACCAACAACGCAUAGGGAUAACAGAUGCUGUUGUUGUUGCCUGGAUUUUGAAUGCCACACUUGUUGUGCCCGAGUUAGACCACCACUCAUUCUGGAAGGAUGACAGUGAAUUCUCCGAUAUUUUUGACACGGACUGGUUCAUAUCGUACCUAUCAAAGGAUGUAACUGUUGUUAAAAGGAUCCCUUAUGAAGUUAUGAUAUCAAUGGAUAAACUUCCAUGGACCAUGCGGACACCUAGAAAAUCCAUGCCUGAGUUUUACAUUGAUGAAGUUUUGCCUAUUCUGAUGCGAAGGAGAGCUUUGCAGCUAACUAAGUUUGAUUAUCGGCUCGCCAAUGAUCUUGAUGAAGAAUUGCAGAAGUUACGGUGUCGAGUAAACUUUCAUGCAUUAAGAUUCAAAAAGCCCAUACAAACUUUGGGUAAAAAAUUGGUGCGAAGAUUGAGAGUCAUGAGCUCACGAUAUGUCGCCAUUCACUUGAGGUUUGAACCUGACAUGCUUGCAUUUUCUGGCUGUUACUAUGGUGGUGGUGAAAAAGAAAGAAAGGAACUGGCUGAAAUUAGGAAACGGUGGGAUACAUUACCUCAGGACUUAAGUGCUGAGGAUGAGCGCACCAGGGGAAAAUGUCCAUUAACUCCUCACGAAAUUGGUUUAAUGCUGCGAGCUGUUGGUUUUGGCAAUGAAACUUACCUGUAUGUUGCUUCUGGAGAAAUAUAUGGCGGAGAAGAAACUCUUCGGCCUCUGCGCGAACUCUUUCCAAACUUCUACACCAAGGAGAUGCUUGCUGGCGAUGAUCUGAAACCAUUCCUUCCUUUUUCUUCACGAUUGGCUGCUAUCGACUUCAUUGUAUGUGAUGAGAGUGAUGUUUUUGUUACCAAUAAUAAUGGAAACAUGGCCAAGGUGUUAGCUGGACGCAGGCGAUACAUGGGCCAUAAGAGAACUAUUCGCCCAAACACGAGAAAGCUCAAUGUAUUAUUUCAGACAUGGAAUCAAACGGGUUGGGAUACAUUUUCACGGAAGGUAAAGAAAAUCCAGCGGGGCCUUAUGGGGGAACCAGAUGAUCCCAGACAUGGACGAGAUGAUUUCCAUGAGAUGCCAUCAUCUUGUAUCUGCCAAAGAGUGCCAGUGAACAGAUCGGCAACGAUGCAAACUCGAAACUUGUUAUCUCAAGUGAGGUAG
Molecule: ribosomal RNA, 1521 nt
Filed under: Triticum aestivum (bread wheat)
Lineage: Eukaryota; Viridiplantae; Streptophyta; Magnoliopsida; Poales; Poaceae
Description: partial small subunit ribosomal RNA
Source: RNAcentral